Long non-coding RNA from Canis lupus familiaris (dog), 475 nucleotides. RefSeq lists it as uncharacterized. NCBI's taxonomy places the organism in Eukaryota, Metazoa, Chordata, Mammalia, Carnivora, Canidae. The transcript has 3 exons. The record is from RefSeq and is a predicted model, not a curated record.
GGAGAGAGACCAGGGCUUCCGGGCGGCCUCCGAGAUCCCGGGGCCGCGUGCUGGAAGCCUGCCUGAAAACACCCCGCCAGGGCCGCUCCUCUGCCGCCGGCUCCUGCCCGGCCACUGUUCGGGGCCCUUGGCCGCACGACGGACGGAGGACGGCUCUCUGUGGAGCAGCGCGCGGGCUCCCCGGCUCGCGCCCCCCCUGCCCGGGGCCUGCGGCGCGAGGAAGACCAAAAUGAUCUUUUGUACUGCAAGGUGCUAACACUUGAUAUAGAAGAAAAUCUACAUAAACCAACAUAUCUGUCUGCAACAGGGCUUGUAUGAGCACUGGGGGUUAUAUGCAACUGUGAAUUAUUAAAAACUACAUAUGAAUGCAAUGAAACGCCGGGACACCUGCACCCCGAUGUUUAUAGCAGCAAUGGCCACGAUAGCCAAACUGUGGAAGGAGCCUCGGUGUCCAACGAAAGAUGAAUGGAUAAAG